This is a long non-coding RNA of Anopheles stephensi (Asian malaria mosquito), 1985 nucleotides long. RefSeq lists it as uncharacterized. The record is from RefSeq and is a predicted model, not a curated record. The transcript has 3 exons. NCBI's taxonomy places the organism in Eukaryota, Metazoa, Arthropoda, Insecta, Diptera, Culicidae.
UUCCUUUACAUACAUUCAGGCGCGCGCAGUAUUUCGCGUUCCCGCCACCAGGCGAUAGAUUGUCGCUUCAGCCAGCUCCGGUGUGUGUUGGGUGCGUUUGCUCGGCCCUUAUUGUUCCCCCGAGAUGGUACAUCACCCAGCCCCAAGGCUUCCUCGGCACUGCUAAGUUGUGAACCAAUUUUCCAUUAUCUCCGUCACGCUACUCGAUCUGUUGCGCGUAGCAGGCCUGUUUGGAGCGGCAUUUGCCGACGGCUAGCAUUGCUACCGAGCGACGGACCACGCAAUGACACACGCAACGCAAGGAUCGUUCAAAUAUUCAGCAGUCGAGCCUUGGUCUACCUCUGGGCGCGUUUAUUGUUAUCCGAUGCUAGUAACAGAGAGUGGCGUUCGAGUAAUCGAAUCAUAGUGAUACGUUUGGUGAUGUGAAAGUGUUGUUGAUUUGUGCCUGGAAUCAAUUUCGACAAACAAUUGUGAUACGCUUGGUGCAGUUUACGGUACGUGAAAUGUGUAAUGAGGCCUUGUGUCUGGAACAGUAAGUGAUAGUGAGUGACUCCGAGCGUGAUCAUGUUGACACAUUUCUAGAGUCAAAGAACAGCCUGUUGUCCUGUAACUUGUUCGAAUGGACGUGUAGGACAACAGCUUGUGAUCCGUAGUUGUAUACAAAUCAUCGACAGAGAGUUUCUACAUGUGAGCAACAGGUGGAAAUGCAGUUUAAAAUAAUGAACAGAGUUACUUGUGCGUAGUGAUCACCUUUGCAGUACCAACACAGAACAAGCAGGUCGUUCAGCCAAUUAGAUGAACUUACGAGUGUAGCGAACGGGAUAGCCUUGAAGGAGCAAUUACUUUUCGCUCAUUAUCCGAUCGUUUGCUUAAGAAGGGCUGCUUCCGUCUUACAACGUGCAGCACACGGCGGCUUAAAACCGUCAAAAGAUCUGUGCCAUCACCGUUCUUAUUGGAAGCGGCGGAGCAAUUAAGGACGCACUUCUUGCUAAGUACCAAUUAUCGCUCGCCAGCAACAGGAAUAUUGGGACUACGAGCUACGCAUGGUGUGAUGGGAAUCUUUUCGUCUGAUGGGUGACAUUCUUCAGUGUGAAGAUUGGGUUUGAUAGAAGCAUAAUAAUCCUUUUUUAUAUCAUUUCCCAUUUAAAUGUGUGACAAACGUGUGACAACAAUCGUGAAACAAUUGUAACAUAAACUUUACCACUAAGAAGAGGAUUUGCACCAGGUUCAUUAAAACGCCUAAUGUACUUGGUGAAUCCUCGGAAGAAUUUUUUUAACUUUGUCUGCAGUAAACUAACUAACCCCCCUCCAUUAUCCUUCCAGCGAGGACUACCAUCAUCAGCGAUGCACCUACUGUCCAACAGAGACGACACCGAUUGCAUGUCCGCCGGAUUGCUUCUGUAAGCAUCCACCGGACGAUGGUCGGGAUCACAUCUAAGCUGGGGUGAUCGGAAAAACGUUGUAUCGUAUAGGAGUUGUUUAAAAUGGGCUCCUGUUUCUCAUCAAACUAUAAGCAAUCUAAAUAUGGUUCCCUGGACAUAAAUACAGCACAUGAGCUACCAGCAGCUAGGCUUCGUUCGGUAUCAAGAUACUCUUUUUAACCCGGACGAUCACAGAAGCCGUAUCAGUGUGAUACGUCAUUGUGUUUCCCCUAUUAUCAGUUCAAGUGUACUUGAUCACUUGGUCAAAAGGAUCGUCGUCGUCAGUGUAAAAUACUAAUAGCCAUGCCCGCUUCUUCUUAGCAACGUAUCACAUUUGAUGUAGCAUAGCAAGGUGUGCAGAAUAGCAGUAGUAACACCGAUAGCAUUCGUAAAUGUUAACUCUAAACAUGGCGUAAUGAAUAGAACGCGGUAAGCUUUUUCUCAUGCAUCGUCAAUCCAGUGUAACUGAUAUAGCUCUAACCGGACAAGCAAAUAGUAACAUAAUGCAGUAACAUAUUCAGUAAAUAUACCCAUCAGUCAAAUAAAAGCAACCAUCUUAUCAAA